CCCAGACUCCUACGGGAGGCAGCAGUGGGGAAUAUUGCACAAUGGGGGAAACCCUGAUGCAGCGACGCCGCGUGAGUGAAGAAGUAAUUCGUUAUGUAAAGCUCUAUCAGCAGGGAAGAAAAUGACGGUACCUGAGUAAGAAGCCCCGGCUAACUACGUGCCAGCAGCCGCGGUAAUACGUAGGGGGCAAGCGUUAUCCGGAUUUACUGGGUGUAAAGGGAGCGUAGACGGCAGUGCAAGUCUGGAGUGAAAGGCGGGGGCUCAACCCCCGGACUGCUUUUGAAACUGUCAAACUAGAGUACGGGAGAGGUAAGGGGAAUUCCUAGUGUAGCGGUGAAAUGCGUAGAUAUUAGGAAGAACACCAGUGGCGAAGGCGGCUUUCCGGACUGAAACUGACGCUGAGGCACGAAAGCGUGGGGAGCGAACAGGAUUAGAUACCCGGGUA
RNAcentral lists this ribosomal RNA (445 nucleotides) under uncultured bacterium. RNAcentral describes it as "bacterial SSU rRNA". It matches the Rfam family "Bacterial small subunit ribosomal RNA", at positions 330 to 792 of the family's 1533-position model. The record is from RNAcentral.